GGGAGAGCUCCUACCGUGACAGGCUCCCAGCGCAGCAGAGCCCACACAGAGAGCUCCCUCAGAUCCAGACCGACAGCUCCCGGGAAGGGACGCCUUGUCUCCAGGAGGCUGCAGAACAAACCACGGUAGUCCUGACAGAGAGAAACGAGACCCGAAUCUUCCCACUGCCACCCUCGGGCCAAGAAUCACAGGCAUCACAGUUC
This 203-nucleotide long non-coding RNA is filed under the name Homo sapiens (human). RNAcentral describes it as "HSALNT0245890". Lineage: Eukaryota; Metazoa; Chordata; Mammalia; Primates; Hominidae. The record is from RNAcentral.